This 487-nucleotide ribosomal RNA is filed under the name uncultured bacterium. RNAcentral describes it as "partial 16S ribosomal RNA". It matches the Rfam family "Bacterial small subunit ribosomal RNA", at positions 28 to 507 of the family's 1533-position model. The record is from RNAcentral.
GAUGAACGCUAGCGAUAGGCUUAACACAUGCAAGUCGAGGGGCAGCACAAGGUAGCUUGCUAUCUGGGUGGCGACCGGCGCAUGGGUGCGUAACGCGUAUGCAACUUGCCCUAUACAGGAGGAUAACCCGUCGAAAGACGGACUAAUACUGCGUAUGCUCACAACUUGGCAUCAAGUGGUGAGGAAAGAAAUUCGGUAUAGGAUAGGCAUGCGUCCCAUUAGCUUGUUGGUGAGGUAACGGCUCACCAAGGCAACGAUGGGUAGGGGAACUGAGAGGUUUAUCCCCCACACUGGUACUGAGACACGGACCAGACUCCUACGGGAGGCAGCAGUGAGGAAUAUUGGUCAAUGGGCGCGAGCCUGAACCAGCCAAGUCGCGUGAAGGAUGACUGUCUUAUGGAUUGUAAACUUCUUUUAUACGGGAAUAACAAGAGUCACGGGUGACUCCCUGCAUGUACCGUAUGAAUAAGCAUCGGCUAACUCCGUG